AUCCUGCAAUGUGUGCUAGUGAUGUCACUGUUCAUAUUGUUAAGAGCAAUGUUGAUGUUAAGUAACACAGCCAUUAGGAAGGAUAGUUUAAGUUUUUAAGACGAUUUGGGAUGAAUUAAUACAUGAAUAUUAAUAUUAAUAGCAAUUUGAAUACGAAUAAUUUAAUAAAAAACGAAUAGCUGGAAUAAUCAUUUGAAAGCAGGACCAAAGGGGUGGGGGGGGGGGGCGUGGCUGGGGUAUGUGGAACAUUGCUAUGUUGGCAAGGUUAUUAAUUAAUGUAUUCCCCAAAAACACAAGCCCCCUAUUCCCGUACAGGAUUUACACCUGUGCCGAAGUUUGUGUUUCCGCUUCAAAGAAAUUGCGACCUGUGAAAACCGAAACGGAUCCUUUGCGCCUUUUUACCCUGACUGAGUUUUAUACGUAAGACCCCAAGGAUUUCGCUCCUGAGACGAACACUCUGAAAUAGAAUUUCACGGAUACAUAGGAAAUCUAACACUUCAAAGCGAACCGUGUUGUGUAAAACGUGUCCUUACACUCCGUGUUGAGGAUAAGGAUGUUGUACUGCGUCGCCCCGGCGACCCCGGUCCACGCCAGCCGUACGGUGCGUCCUACUAUCUCCACCACUCGCAGGUUGGUGAUUCUUCCAACCAGAGGCAACGCUGCGCACAGCAUUCACAGCGUAAACAACUCACAUGCAGUUAUAAAUCGAACACAUCUGCUUCAUGCUCCACGUCAUCAUGCCUGACAGAUCAUCUUACAGUACCCAUGCAGGUCAGAAACAGGGCUGUGUUUGAUAAUUCCUCUCAAGUGUACAUUUUUAUUCAUUAAAAAAAAAUCUGCAACAUUUAUAAUAUCAUACCGGCUGCUUCAAGUUAUUUAGAAAAUGUUCAAAUUUAAUUAAAAAAAAAGAUGAUGAUCACGACGUCUCAGAAAAGCAUACUGUGACAUAACUUCUCUCAUAUGACCCCGCCCUAUACACUACACUCCAGAUGAGCAGCACUCAUGUCGUCCUGCGAGCUAGUUAGUUAACUAGCAUUUAUCUUCAGUUAACUAGCAUUUAUCUUCAGUUAACUAGCAUUUAUCUUCAGUUAACUAGCAUUUAUCUGUAGUUUACUAGCAUUUAUCUUCAGUUAACUAGUAUUUAUCUUCAGUUAACUAGCAUUUAUAAUUAGUUAGCUAGCAUUUAUCUUCAGUUAACUAGCAUUUAUCUGUAGUUUACUAGCAUUUAUCUUCAGUUAACUAGCAUUUAUCAUUAGUUAGCUAGCAUUUAUCUUCAGUUAACUAGCAUUUAUCAUUAGUUAGCUAGCAUUUAUCUUCAGUUAACUAGCAUUUAUCUUUACUUAACUAGCAUUUAUCUUCAUUAAACUAGCAUUUAUCUUCAGUUAACUAGCAUUUAUCUUCAGUUAAGUAUAAUUUAUCUUUAGUUAAUGAGAAUUUAUCUGUAGUUAACUAGCAUUUAUCAUUAGUUAACUAGCAUUUAUCAUUAGUUAACUAGCAUUUAUCUUCAGUUAACUAGCAUUUAGCUUCAGUUAACUAGCAUUUAUCUUUAGUUAAGUAGCAUUUAUCUUUAGUUAAUGAGAA
Ictalurus punctatus (channel catfish) is the source of this 1581-nucleotide long non-coding RNA. Lineage: Eukaryota; Metazoa; Chordata; Actinopteri; Siluriformes; Ictaluridae. The record is from Ensembl.